CUUAUUUUUAAUCAUUUUCUAAAUUUUAACACGCGCAACUUUUAGAGAGAAGAUCCCAUAAACUGUAACUUAAAGUGUUAUUUAACGUAUUUCAAAACUUUGCGAGUCGUUUGCAUUUGAAUCAACUGUACUGAAGAAUUUGUCAUAAACAAGAAAGGAUAGAAAUCUAGAGUGUGUGUUUUGUGUAUAAGUUUCGAGGAAACCGAUCGAAAAGAAUAUUUCUUGUUAAGAAUUUCGUGCUACCCUAUAGACAAUUUCGACAGAUAGUGCGUUACUGACACAAAUAAACAUACGUAUCUAACUGAUUUGUAUCCGUCGUCCUUCACUAAAUCGACUAACGAGAGUUUCGAGAAAAUGCUAUUAUACGAAUUACUCUUUCAGAGGUUAUCAGACGCGUUCACGUUAUAUCUUUACGCGUUGCUCUAUCAGUUCCUCGAAAACCAUGUUUUGUCAGCAAUUAACGCGAUCACACGUGGCAGUAAACUUCAUUUUCUUUAUUAAGGUGAUUCCCUUCCGAUAAAGGAGAAUUCGAGUUUAUUUUCUCAUCUACUCGCACGUUAAUCCAAUUUUUACAUAAUUUUAUUAACGCAGAAAACAACAAACAUUAUUAUUCUCUUUUUAUCUUACAAAUAGAAGGAGCGAAGCUGACACUUACGAUCGUCCAAAUUGAAUGUAUUCUCCGCUUCUUCAGGUGACAAGGUCGUGGUGGUGAUAUUCUUGGCUACACUGACGUUUUUCACAUCUGUGUUCUCGGGCAAGGUGGCCAUCAUGUUGGCCGUGUAGGCCAGCACGUACAGGGUCUGGUUGAGGAACAUGUUGAAGUAUUUUUCGAGACAACGAUAGCGUUCACUAUAUAUGUAUAUCCGGGAGUUUUGAUAAACCGCGCGGUUUUCACGGUUUCUAUCUCGUUUUUCUUGCCUAUUACGAUGGAUUUGUACUUAUUAAAUAACAAUCAGCGUGGAAGUGAAUGUAGAAUCAAACUCUGGUCUCGAUGAAAAAUAUAUAGAUUUAUGACAGUCUUAACGUCUCUUCCGCGAGAUUAAGAGUGAACAGAUAUGAUUAAAAACACUCCUGUUUAUUCCGUUUCUCUGUAGUCCCUCGCGAGGAAUAUCGAUGCGACACACAUAAACAACCGAGAAUCCCGGAUUCUUGGACUUUGUAUCAGUCGACUGAAGACGAGAGAAAACACAGUUUUUCUCUCCGGACUCUCGUAUAGAGAGAGACUUUGUCGGGACGUCCUUGGUUGUUGACUGUUUCUAAAGAUCUCGUGAGCGCUCUAAAUGUCUCUCUGUCUCAUCGGCGAGACGACUCGUCACUGCCGGCUACUGUAAGUAAGUCGCGCCGAUAUCAGUAAUAAUAAUGAAAAAUCGAUUGACGUAAAGACGGCUCUUGAUAGUACUCGUGUCGGCGGCGGUCCCGACAUUAAAGCGUCCGUCUCUCGGAAUAAACGAAAUUUUAUAUCACGCCACACACCAAUUGACAGCCUUAUCUCGAAUUGUUAUGCAUAUCUCGUCGAUGCUCUCUUCUUAAAAAUCUUGAAGCACGUAUAAUUUAUAUUUAUUUCUGUUAAUAUAUAUGUAUAUAUAUAUUUAUUUAAAUGGCUUUCAAAACUGUAAUAUAAAUUGAAGUAAUUUAAUAUUAAAAUUAUCCUUCCCGUUAUAUAAUUUUCGGAAUCCGGUUCGAUUUAUCGGAUCUUCAAUCCAAUGCCGGUUCUGCCAGUUCGUUCGAACCCACCCAGAUUACGCCGGCAAAUGUCGACAGACACUCGUGGAAGCGAUGACACGGUCACGGUCGAGCGUCGUAGAUGAUCCCGGGUCCACUGAUCGGCACUAAUCACUCAAAUUUUGCUGAUCCAUGUGAACCGUGCGUCCCCACUCCGGGAAGAGCGCUCAGCUGUUCUCUUUCUCGGAGCGCUUUUAUCCGGUUUCAAGACGGGAACAGGAGGUGGUUAUUUCAGUCUAAUGAGUUCUUCCAGAAUUUUCUGUGUGCGCGGUAUAUUCGAAACGUCGUGAAAAUAAAUUUUAUUUUACGUCUUUUUAUUAAUAUUUUCAAAAAAAAAAAAAAAUUUCUAUGUAUUAUAUCUACACAAUUGCAAGAAUAUUGGGAAAUAUAUUUUUGAUACGGUAUAUAUCUAUUAUUAAUACUUUAAAGCAGCUUAUACAAUAUCUGAAGAAUAUUUCCCAAAAGUUUGGAUAAUUUCGUAAAGUUCCUGGAUUUUGAUCUGCUCCGAAACAUCGUCGAACAGUCGGAGCUCUUGUCGGCUUGCUGGCUGGGUCUGUGACUAACAAAGAGUGGCCUGAGAGACCUAUUAAACGAAAUAUCAUUUCCACGGAAUCCCAUAGGAUGUCGUUGAGAGGCUUCAAAAGGACCGCCCUUUUUGUGACAGCCGCCUGUUCGUGGAAGCGCGUCUCUUCCCGGACAAUGCGGGACGAUAAAUCCACCGAUGGUCCAGCGGCUAAUAAAACCGGAUCAAAGCCACUUAAAGUGCUCGUUAAGACGCCCUCGUUUUCCUCUUGGUUCAAGCAGUGCGACGAACGUCUCACAUCGUCAAGGUGCAAAAAAGCUUCCAGAGAAGAAUUUCAGGACCAACAAGCGAGAGAAAGAUUCGGAUCGCACCCAGAUUCGUCAAAGCUAAGGGAGAUUCUCACAAAUGUUUCUCUCAACACCUCAUUGUACAAAGUCCGGCGAGAAACAGGAUACUAAGCGGGUCUCGCACAUCGGGGACAGGGACAACAACAGAAGAGCGGCUUUCCGGUGUGAAAAGGUAUAUCGAAAGGUACACCGAUCGAUAUACGGGUUGGGUCGAGAGCCGGUGACGCGCGCCAUAGAAUUGGCGCGCCGCCCUAUGGGGUGCCGUCGACCCGAUGCAUGGGGCUGUUGCUGUGCGUAAACGAAGCCCCACGUAUUUCUUCCCCCCGGAACAUCCCCCUUCGCGAGAGAGUUUCACCCCCGGUGAAAACCGGCCUCCUGGCCGAUCGUGAAUCCCUAAUACCACGCACCCCCGAGACGUCUCCGUUAUCCAGGACACGUCUCUCGCGUUGCCCGGGAAACGUCUCCCGCGAAAUAUCGCGCGAUCUAAUAGAGACCCUCCUACGGGGACUCCUGGCCGUUUCUGCGGACUUGGUAGCCGAAUCGUACGACUGUUGCAUCGUGAUUACCGCGAAAAGUAUGAAUGACAGCCGCCGCAACCCUCGAGCGCUACAAGAGAGGGAUUUCCCGAUUCUCGCGCGCGACUGCAUCCAGAGAGAGAGAGAGUUUCGAAACUCACGACGCAAAGCGUACAUCGUAUAUUUGCCUCACGCGUUAUAUUUCAAGUGCAAAGUUAUUAGAACCGUAAAAAUCGUACGUAUAUGAUUAUGUGUAAUUUGAAUAUAUGAAAUGUGUAUAUACGAUAAAAGGCGCUAUUAUUAUUAUGUCUGACAGAUCUGUCGAUUUGCAGAGGGAAACGUGUUUCUCGUUUCAUCGGUCGAUUAACCACACGAAUAACAUACAUACAUGUUAUCGCACGCGCGAAAGUAUAAACGGCGAGAUGAUGAAUGGCGAGAAAGGGAGGCCAGAGGGGCUCGAAAUGCAAAGGCGUGUUGUUUUCUCAAGCGCGUGGGCAGCGUAACCACGCUGCUCUUUAAUGAUACGGAACGACAGAUCGCCGCCCCCCUUUGACCUUGGGGGAGCCCUUGAAACGCUCCUGCCAACCCUUGCUACCCUGUUACAUUGCCCUAUCCAAUCCCCAUCCAUUUAUUCAUUCAUGCGCCUCCGUGCAAGGUGUCCUUCGGGCUCGGCCGAGCCGUGUCAAGUGAUUUACGUCGCAACGUAAAGCGACUCAUACACGUGCUCACGUACACGCGGACACAUAGGAGGCGUCCGUUCAGCUAAAUUGCUAAUUAUCCAUCGCAGCUCGGCCGCAACUAACCAACGUUACGUAAAGUUUGUGAAGCAACGACGCCAUAUACUGCCAUUAUAUAAUUAUAGUGUAGUUUAUUUCUCGCUUAUUAUAAGAUGCAUAAUUAUUUUUCUAUUUAUAAUCUUGCCUUAAAAAAGAGAGAGUUUGUAUUAUUUUUUUUCUUCAUUUGCCCGUAUCCUUUAUUUUAACAUUAGAUGGUUGUUUGCACGUUUUCCCUGAUUUUAUUUGUUAGCGUAAUAUUGCUUCAUUGUUAAAAGUCGCGUCUGGUUAAAGGACUACUUGAAAGUUUAUUUAAGCACGUUUAAUUUCGCAAUGCGAUUCAACAAAUAUUUAUUAACGGGACGAUGAUGCGCGUAAACGUAAUAUAUGGACGUAAAUUAUUUUUAUGUUUCCCUCUAUCUUUCUCUCUUUUUGUCGCGUCAAAAAUUUGUUAUUCAAUGAAACCGUGCGUCAAAUGCGAUUCGGUGAAGAUUGUACUUUGCACCGUUGAUCUGCCAUCGUUCGCACUUAUAUAUACGCUUAUUCCGGGCAAUGUACAUCAGAUAACGUAUAUUAUUGCGUUGUCGGGACAUAGGUCGACUCAGCGAGAAUAUUUGUUUUUUUUACGCGCGCGAAAGUAGAUAAAUCUGUAAAUUUCACGCAAAAAGUAAAGAAGAUUAAUAUAAUCAUAAAAUGUAUAAACAUUCUAAUUGCUUCAAAUCGAUACUGUUAUAUCCCGAAUAAAAUACGAUAAGUAAAAUUUCGCUUCGCAAAAGCAAUAAUUUCUCGAGUACAAAUAGUAAAUAAAGCUGUUAAAGUGAGAAUUAUCGAUCAAAAUAUCGCGGAAUUCGACAUGAGCGAAAUGAGUAACACGCGACAAAAAAUCUUCAAAAUUUCGCAAUCGAUCGUGAAUGCACUUUGUACAUUGACAAAGUUCGCGUUUUUUACGUCUUCGUCAAGAUUCAAUCUGACCGCGCAACAAGAUGAAGAGAAUCUACACGGAGAGAAUUUUCUCUGAAAAUUUGCUCUCUGAAAAUCUACAAUAAUUAACAGUAAAUUUUACUAUAUGUACAUAAUAAAAUUAA
Nylanderia fulva is the source of this 4965-nucleotide non-coding RNA. The record is from RefSeq and is a predicted model, not a curated record. Lineage: Eukaryota; Metazoa; Arthropoda; Insecta; Hymenoptera; Formicidae.